UUAAGCGACUAAGCGUACACGGUGGAUGCCCUGGCAGUCAGAGGCGAUGAAGGACGUGCUAAUCUGCGAAAAGCGCCGGCGAGGUGAUAUGAACCUUUGACCCGGCGAUGUCCGAAUGGGGAAACCCAGUGCAAUUCGUUGCACUAUCGUUAACUGAAUACAUAGGUUAACGAGGCGAACCGGGGGAACUGAAACAUCUAAGUACCCCGAGGAAAAGAAAUCAACCGAGAUUCCCCCAGUAGCGGCGAGCGAACGGGGAGCAGCCCGGAGUCUGAAUCAGCUUGUGUGUUAGUGGAACGGUCUGGAAAGUCCGACGGUACAGGGUGAUAGUCCCGUACACGAAAGCACACAUGCUGUGAACUCGAAGAGUAGGGCGGGACACGUGGUAUCCUGUCUGAAUAUGGGGGGACCAUCCUCCAAGGCUAAAUACUCCUGACUGACCGAUAGUGAACCAGUACCGUGAGGGAAAGGCGAAAAGAACCCCGGCGAGGGGAGUGAAAAAGAACCUGAAACCGUGUACGUACAAGCAGUGGGAGCCUCUUUAUGGGGUGACUGCGUACCUUUUGUAUAAUGGGUCAGCGACUUAUAUUCUGUAGCAAGGUUAACCGUAUAGGGGAGCCGAAGGGAAACCGAGUCUUAACUGGGCGUUAAGUUGCAGGGUAUAGACCCGAAACCCGGUGAUCUAGCCAUGGGCAGGUUGAAGGUUGGGUAACACUAACUGGAGGACCGAACCGACUAAUGUUGAAAAAUUAGCGGAUGACCUGUGGCUGGGGGUGAAAGGCCAAUCAAACCGGGAGAUAGCUGGUUCUCCCCGAAAGCUAUUUAGGUAGCGCCUCGUGAAUUCAUCUUCGGGGGUAGAGCACUGUUUCGGCUAGGGGGCCAUCCCGGCUUACCAACCCGAUGCAAACUACGAAUACCGAAGAAUGUUAUCACGGGAGACACACGGCGGGUGCUAACGUCCGUCGUGAAGAGGGAAACAACCCAGACCGCCAGCUAAGGUCCCAAAGUCAUGGUUAAGUGGGAAACGAUGUGGGAAGGCACAGACAGCCAGGAUGUUGGCUUAGAAGCAGCCAUCAUUUAAAGAAAGCGUAAUAGCUCACUGGUCGAGUCGGCCUGCGCGGAAGAUGUAACGGGGCUAAACCAUGCACCGAAGCUGCGGCAGCGACGCUUAGGCGUUGUUGGGUAGGGGAGCGUUCUGUAAGCCGUUGAAGGUGUCCUGUGAGGGGUGCUGGAGGUAUCAGAAGUGCGAAUGCUGACAUAAGUAACGAUAAAGCGGGUGAAAAGCCCGCUCGCCGGAAGACCAAGGGUUCCUGUCCAACGUUAAUCGGGGCAGGGUGAGUCGACCCCUAAGGCGAGGCCGAAAGGCGUAGUCGAUGGGAAACAGGUUAAUAUUCCUGUACUUGGUGUUACUGCGAAGGGGGGACGGAGAAGGCUAUGUCAGCCGGGCGACGGUUGUCCCGGUUUAAGCAUGUAGGCGGAGGUUCCAGGUAAAUCCGGUACCUUGUUAACGCUGAGGUGUGAUGACGAGGCACUACGGUGCUGAAGUGAUAAAUGCCCUGCUUCCAGGAAAAGCCUCUAAGCAUCAGGUAACACGAAAUCGUACCCCAAACCGACACAGGUGGUCAGGUAGAGAAUACCAAGGCGCUUGAGAGAACUCGGGUGAAGGAACUAGGCAAAAUGGUGCCGUAACUUCGGGAGAAGGCACGCUGAUAUGUAGGUGAAGUCCCUGCGGACGGAGCUGAAAUCAGUCGAAGAUACCAGCUGGCUGCAACUGUUUAUUAAAAACACAGCACUGUGCAAACACGAAAGUGGACGUAUACGGUGUGACGCCUGCCCGGUGCCGGAAGGUUAAUUGAUGGGGUUAGCGGCAACGCGAAGCUCUUGAUCGAAGCCCCGGUAAACGGCGGCCGUAACUAUAACGGUCCUAAGGUAGCGAAAUUCCUUGUCGGGUAAGUUCCGACCUGCACGAAUGGCGUAAUGAUGGCCAGGCUGUCUCCACCCGAGACUCAGUGAAAUUGAACUCGCUGUGAAGAUGCAGUGUACCCGCGGCAAGACGGAAAGACCCCGUGAACCUUUACUAUAGCUUGACACUGAACACUGGUCCUUGAUGUGUAGGAUAGGUGGGAGGCUUUGAAGCGUGGACGCCAGUCUGCGUGGAGCCAACCUUGAAAUACCACCCUUUAAUGGCUGGUGUUCUAACGUAGACCCGUAAUCCGGGUUGCGGACAGUGUCUGGUGGGUAGUUUGACUGGGGCGGUCUCCUCCCAAAGAGUAACGGAGGAGCACGAAGGUUGGCUAAUCCUGGUCGGACAUCAGGAGGUUAGUGCAAUGGCAUAAGCCAGCUUGACUGCGAGCGUGACGGCGCGAGCAGGUGCGAAAGCAGGUCAUAGUGAUCCGGUGGUUCUGAAUGGAAGGGCCAUCGCUCAACGGAUAAAAGGUACUCCGGGGAUAACAGGCUGAUACCGCCCAAGAGUUCAUAUCGACGGCGGUGUUUGGCACCUCGAUGUCGGCUCAUCACAUCCUGGGGCUGAAGUAGGUCCCAAGGGUAUGGCUGUUCGCCAUUUAAAGUGGUACGCGAGCUGGGUUUAGAACGUCGUGAGACAGUUCGGUCCCUAUCUGCCGUGGGCGCUGGAGAAUUGAGGGGGGCUGCUCCUAGUACGAGAGGACCGGAGUGGACGCAUCACUGGUGUUCGGGUUGUCAUGCCAAUGGCACUGCCCGGUAGCUAAAUGCGGAAGAGAUAAGUGCUGAAAGCAUCUAAGCACGAAACUUGCCCCGAGAUGAGUUCUCCCUGAGAC
This 2795-nucleotide ribosomal RNA is filed under the name Enterobacter hormaechei. RNAcentral describes it as "23S ribosomal RNA". It matches the Rfam family "Bacterial large subunit ribosomal RNA". Lineage: Bacteria; Pseudomonadati; Pseudomonadota; Gammaproteobacteria; Enterobacterales; Enterobacteriaceae. The record is from RNAcentral.